CGGACAGUGGACCUGUGGAUUUAAGGAGCAUACUAGUGUGACAGUGAGCUAACCUGAAGCUGGAGGCUGCUAACCGGAGGACGGAGACCCGGAGCAGCCGGUUUGACAUCCUGUCCUCGCGCCCCAUGAAGCGUGCUGACUGCGCCAGAGGUGGACACCAUGAGCGGGAGGUCUCACCUGAUUCACCGGAGCUCCGCGGGACUCUGAGCCGCGUCUUUCAGUCUCCGUCCACCCACAAACCGCACACGGGAUGUGGGGACCGCAGAAAUCAGGACUCCGGGAUUUUCUGUCUCUGCCGCUGGUCGUGGCGGUGAUGUGCUGCGCCCAGAGCGUCAACGAACCGGGCAACAUGUCUUUCGUCAAAGAGACAGUGGACAAACUGUUGAAAGGGUAUGACAUCCGUCUCCGGCCGGACUUUGGAGGUGCACCGGUUGCUGUUGGCAUGAGUAUAGACGUGGCGAGUAUA
Non-coding RNA from Plectropomus leopardus (leopard coralgrouper), 466 nucleotides. NCBI's taxonomy places the organism in Eukaryota, Metazoa, Chordata, Actinopteri, Perciformes, Serranidae. The record is from RefSeq and is a predicted model, not a curated record.